Molecule: long non-coding RNA, 2033 nt
Filed under: Homo sapiens (human)
Lineage: Eukaryota; Metazoa; Chordata; Mammalia; Primates; Hominidae
Description: HSALNT0224765
Source: RNAcentral
GAUGUCAAACAUUUCUCAUGAAUUUUGUUACAUACUUGUACUUCUAAGAAUUGUGUGCCUGGGUUCUCUGUUUGCCCGUGAUUGUUUUCUUUAUUGAUGUUUUAAGAGGAUUUGCGGCAUUAAGCCUGUUAACUCUUUCUCCAUUCUCUUUCAUAUUUUAACCAAUUUAUCACUUCUCUUUAUAUUUUAUGUAGGAUGUUUGGAUGUUUUAGAAUAACUCACUCUUCUGUUAAGAUCACUUUUAUUUACUUCAUGUUCAGAAAAUUCUUGCUCAUCCAGGCUCUAGUUAAAUAUAUGCCAGUAUUUUAUUCUAGAUACUUUUGGAUUCUUUUUUUUACAUUUAAUACACUGGGGUUUUAUUUCAGUGUAUGAGGGAGGGAUCAAACUUGAUUAUUUUCCCCCCUUUUAGCCACAUUUUCCAAUUUUACUUUCAGAUAAUUUAACCAUUAACCAUUUCUUCCUGGUGAUUCCUUUCUGAGAUUUAAAUUUUUAAAAUAUGUAUGAUAGAUCUCAGGACUAUCUGUUUCUACUUCAUUGGAUGAUCUACAGAAUCUUGUACCACCAGCACCACACUGUUUUAAUUAUUGUAUCAAGAAUAAUACAGUUAGAUAUCUCUUAGGGACAGUAUCUCCUUGAUAUUCUUUAAGCAGUUCUUAACUCUUCUCAUCCUUUUUUUCCCUUCCAGAUGGACUUUCAUCAAAUUCAAAGAAAAAAAAAAGAUUCCACUGGGAUUUAAUUCAGAUUGCAUUUCACCGAAAAAUUACAAGGAUUAACAACAAGGAUUAAUAGCAUUGCUGCAUUCAUUAUGGCAACCCAAGAGUUUGAGAAGUCGUCAGUGUGUAGUCCUGUUACCUUAAUUGUUUCUGAGUUAUGGGUUGAAUUUAUUUUGAAAUUUCAAAAAACUUCAAAGGGUAGUAUGUUAUUUUUGUGUUAAUCAAAAUGAACAAUGGGUUUCAAAAGCUUGAACAACGUCAUCUUGGGAGUGCCAAAUGAAUAGGAUGUCCUGUAUGUCAGGAGCAUGCCCACACUUUUCUUGCUAGGGUGAGUUUAUUGUCCCUGAUGAAUCCCAGGAGUACUAGUCCAUGAUGCUCUUAUUCCCUGGUGCUUUAACAUGCAGUGCAGCCGGAGUUGGCCUGAACUUUAGGAAAUGAGGUCGUAAGUCGAAAGAACAGGGAAUUGAGAAAGCACACAGAAGCAGCCAGGGCCAACAUUUUCCCCUAAACAAGCCAAUCAACAAAAAGCAAUGCCAAACAAGCCCCUUUGAAACUUUCAAAGUCCUCAUCCUAGUACCUUCCUAGCACUCUAGGAGACAUCUUUCAGCUGUUGAUUUAUGAACGCUGAGAGGCACGUGGAGGAAUUAAUGGAGGUAAAUAUCUAACUUAAAAAAUCUUCAGUAGGCAUUUUUAGACAAUCCUCCUUGAAAGAAAAGUGUGGAUGCUCUGUGCGUGUAUUGACUGCACCUGCAGGGGUAUAGCUGGAGAACACCCAGUGAGCAUCUUCAGGAGCCAAGUCACGCAGGGGCUUAGCUCUCAGUCCAUUGCGACAGUUGCCAUGAUGCCUUCUGACCAUUAAACACUUUGAACUCUUUUCUCUCAUCCUCUGUUAUUUGCUUUGGACCCAUAACAGACUCAUUAGUUAAAAAUAAGAAGCAAAGGUAAUCCUGAUGUUGAAUUACAAGUUAAUGCAGAGCACAGACAUGAAAAUAAUUCUAUGGGUUUGCUGCAGCAUAAUCCUUGCCAGAUCUCCAAGUUCCAUUCAUCUAAUGAAAAGCCUUAGUUUGAAGAACAUUUUGGAGAACUCUUACAUCAAGAGGUCUCCAGUACCUCAAAAACCAGUGUUCAAAAGGAAAAUGCACACGCGCAUUUCAGGGAGGUGGGAAUAAAAGCCUUCCUUUGCGCAGCGUGUUACAUGUGGAAAUGUGGAACGCACACGAUCAUUCUUACUGUUAAAAAACCCCACAAAGAUUAUAAAAAUAUGUCAGUUUUUUUUUGGUGCAAAAACUCACACGAUUAAAAAUAUUAUACUAUGAAAGC